RNAcentral lists this ribosomal RNA (253 nucleotides) under uncultured bacterium. RNAcentral's name for it is "partial 16S ribosomal RNA". It matches the Rfam family "Bacterial small subunit ribosomal RNA", at positions 524 to 776 of the family's 1533-position model. The record is from RNAcentral.
UACGUAGGCAGCGAGCGUUGUUCGGAAUUACUGGGCGUAAAGCGAGUGUAGGUGGUUGUCAUAGUCAGGUGUGAAAGCCUUGAGCUCAACUCAAGAAAUGCACUUGAUACUGGGCGACUAGAGGACCGGAGAGGAUAGUGGAAUUCCCAGUGUAGUGGUGAAAUACGUAGAGAUUGGGAAGAACACCAGUGGCGAAGGCGGCUAUCUGGACGGUUUCUGACACUAAGACUCGAAAGCGUGGGGAGCAAACAGG